Molecule: long non-coding RNA, 1225 nt
Filed under: Homo sapiens (human)
Lineage: Eukaryota; Metazoa; Chordata; Mammalia; Primates; Hominidae
Description: HSALNT0255106
Source: RNAcentral
UACUCGGGAGGCUGAGGCAGGAGAAUCACUUGAACCUGGGAGGCGGAGAUUGCAAUGAGUCAAGGUUGCACCACCACACUCCAGCCUGGGCAACAGAAACCCUAUCUAAAAAAAAAAAAAAAAAAAAAAAAAAAGCAAACAGCUGGGCACAGUGGCUCAAGCCUGUAAUCCCAGUACUUUGGGAGGCCAAGGCAGGAGGGUCUCCUGAGGUCGGGAGUUCGAGACCAGCCUGACCAACACUGAGAAACCCUGUCUCUACUAAAAAUACAAAAUGAGCCCGGUGUGGUGGCACAUGCCUGUAAUCCUAGCUACUCGGGAGGCUGAGGCAGGAGAAUCACUUGAACCUGGGAGACAGAGGUUGCAGUGAGCCAAGAUUGCACCACUGUGCUCCAGCCUGGGCGACACAGAGAAACUCUUAUCUUAAAAAAAAUAAUAAAUAAACAAACAACAACAACAACAAAGAAAAGAUGGGAGAUGAAGGGAAGCAGGUGCAAAGGGCUGGAUUUGAAAUCCUGAGAUGAUAAAGGUCAACACCCAAAGGCUCAAAACCCUUCUCCAAACCCUCAUCUGAGCUCACCCAGCACCUGUGACGGGGGCCCACCUGCAUAGAAAGACACUCAAUUGGAUGUUCAUCACUGCAUUGCGUAUAACACUGUGAAGCAGGCUACGUGUCCAUCAGUAGGAGAGCAGAUAAUAAAAUGGGGUCUAUGCAUAGGCUGAUACCAGCCCAUAUAUCCACCCAGAAGAUAUAGGUGAGUGGGUUAGGGCAAGGGCUCUGAAACCAGAAGGAUCUACCACUUCCUAGCUGAAGAACCUUGCACUGGUGACCUCACUCCCUCGUGCCUCCGUUAGCUCAUCUGUAGUUAGGGGACAAUCAUAGUAUCAACAUCGCAGGGGUUAAGAUGAUCUGGGUUAAGCACUGAGCAUGUGGAAAUGACUCAGUAGAUGAGGUGUCAGCAAACUUUUCCUGUGGAUAAGACCAAUGGAGACCUCUAAAAUCACUUUCCUUGUCACCUCUCACUGACCAAGACAGUAAAUCAAUGCAAGGUUGGGCCAGGCACGGUGGCUCAUGCCUGUAAUCCCAGCACCUUGGGAGGCCAAGGCAGGUGGAUCACCUGAGGCCAGGAGCUCGAGACCAGCCUGGCCAACAUGGUGAAACCCCGACUCUACUAAAAAUACAAAAAUUAGCCGGGCGUGGCGGCACGUGCCUGUGGACCCAGCUACU